AUGGUGAGUAAUGACGCAUUGUACCCAAGAAAGAAAAGGCUGUUAAAGGUGAGCACCUAUGUGUGAUAGCUGUUGAGUGUCGACCAGAAAAGUUAUGUCCAAUUCGAAGAACAGUCUUAACUCAGGCUUAAGGUCGGGUUACUCAAUGCUUAGAGAUGAACAAAUACCUCAAAUAGUAUGAACAACAUAAUUACCAUUGUUUUUUUUUUUUUAUUUUGGGCAGGGGUCCAGUGAACUAGGAACAA
Molecule: long non-coding RNA, 245 nt
Filed under: Elaeis guineensis (African oil palm)
Lineage: Eukaryota; Viridiplantae; Streptophyta; Magnoliopsida; Arecales; Arecaceae
Description: long non-coding RNA (EGUI_LNC029088)
Source: RNAcentral